CCUUCUUUUUCCCUCUUUUUCCUUCCUUCCUUUUCUUCCCUUUUUCUUCUUCUUCUCUUUCCUUGGGAUGUUCCAUACCUGAGCUCAACUCGGGUGCUGCAUUCCAAACUGGAUAUCUAGAGUGCAGGAGAGGAGAAUGGAAUUCCUAGUGUAGCGGUGAAAUGCGUAGAGAUUAGGAAGAACACCAGUGGCGAAGGCGAUUCUCUGGACUGUACCUGACGCUGAGGCACGAAAGCGUGGGUAGCAAACAG
Molecule: ribosomal RNA, 251 nt
Filed under: uncultured prokaryote
Description: partial 16S ribosomal RNA
Rfam family: Bacterial small subunit ribosomal RNA (bases 42-251)
Source: RNAcentral